RNAcentral lists this ribosomal RNA (959 nucleotides) under Anthopleura ballii. Its description in RNAcentral is "eukaryotic LSU rRNA". It matches the Rfam family "Eukaryotic large subunit ribosomal RNA", at positions 72 to 809 of the family's 3401-position model. Lineage: Eukaryota; Metazoa; Cnidaria; Anthozoa; Actiniaria; Actiniidae. The record is from RNAcentral.
GGAUUCUCUACAGUAAUCGGCAGAAUGAAGACGAGCGGACAACUUCAAUUUGGAAAUUCUCGUUCCCUGGCAACGGCGAAAUUGGUAUUUUCAAGAACCAUUUUCUAGGCGGAACCGGCUUCUUCCAAGUUGGUUGGAACCACCACGUCUUAAAGGGGGACACCCCCGUCUGUGGCGUGGCCGGCCGCCAACAAUGCGCUUUUAACAAGUCGGGUGGUUUGGGAAUGCAGCCAAAAUGGGUGGUGAACUUCAAUCUAAAGCUAAAUAUUGGCACGAGACCGAUAGCGACCACGUACCGGGAGGAAAAAAUGAAAAGCACUUUGAAAAAAGAGUUAAAAAGUACGUGAAACCGUUAAAAGGAAAACAAUGGGGGUUAGCAAUGCGCUCCGCGAGAUUCAGCCUCCCGGCGGGCCGGCCGGGCGGUUGGCGGAUCCAAACGGACCGCCGCCGUCCGCCUCGAUCCCUCGGGCGUCGCACUUCUCGCGAGCGCGCGUCAGCGUCGGUUGGGACUGGGUCUCAAAGGCGCCGGGAAGGUAGGUUCGACCCCUCGGGGACGGACUGGUAUAGCCCGGCGUCGCCCAUGGCCCGGACCCGACCGAGGUGCCGCGGCGCGUGCCUUUUCUUUGGCUGGGGACCCGUCGUUCCGGUCGGUCGUCGACUGCGGUGGACUGCGUGCAGUGCGCCGCGACCGCUGCCGGUCGCUCCGGCGGGGACCUCACACCACGCGCCCAGGACGCUGGCGGUCACAUGGCCUCAUCCGACCCGUCUUGAAACACGGACCAAGGAGUCUAACAUGUGCGCGAGUCUUCGAGUGAUCGAAACUCCCGGGCGCAAUGAAAGUGAAGGCGGCCUCGGCCGCCGAGGUGAGAACCCCUUCCCCCCCCAACGGGAGGGAAGGGGCGCAUCAUCGACCGACCUAUUCCACUCUUGGGAAGGUUUGAGUAAGAGCGCAUCCUCGC